GGUACACAUGGUGUAUGCUAAACUGCAAAGCAAAGUGUGUAUGUAGGUACCAGGUGAAGUCAUAGCACUUCGCUCGCGGUCGUAUUGGAUUUUGCAACAUAUGCAACAGUGGCUGUCAAAUACAUGUUUACCAAAUCAACUGAAUGCGUUUUCGAAAGAGGCACUCGGCACCAAAGUGUCUAUAGGAAACAGGUGAAGUCAUCUCGAACAAAAUCGAAUAAAAAUAGACACUUUGGCCUCACCCAAAGUGUAUUAAGGAAACAGGUGAAGUUAUAGCAAUUUGACAUAAAGCACCUAACGUCAAAUAACUGUCAGCUGUUUACGUUCAUCACCAAACCAGCAACAAACGAGCAGCCCCGCUGUAGCUAUCAACGAGUCAGCAGGGACUGAAAACGCCGGCUAUCUCUGAUUCUGAAACGAGUGGAAAAGGCCCGGAUCCGGCUUCCAGCUGGUCACUGUCGGCUUAGACUAUUGGUUAAAGGACAAAAGGACGGAGACGAUCGGAGUGUGAUGGACAAUCACAUCAGCGCUACAUGCUCAGUGCAUCCAAAGGAGGGUGUUGUCGCGUGUCCGACCAGAGAUCCGGCGAAGGUGAAACCUCUUCGCUUGUUCCGAACACGGAGCAGCAAGGAGAAGGAGUGGGUUCUUCCGCCCGAAUAAAGGCAGCUCCAGCGCGAUUUGUUCAUCAUAUAUGAACGCUGGCUCGGCAGAUCGUCUGCCAGUCGCAAGGCGCAUCCAAAGGAAGAGUGAUAAGGAAGAGUUUGCAAAACACAGCUAGGCAAAAUCUAUAAGGCAUCUUAAAACCACCAAUGUAGAACAAUCAGAGUACUGAAAAACUGAAUAAACUGUAACUUUCUUUACGGA
Anopheles aquasalis is the source of this 864-nucleotide long non-coding RNA. RefSeq lists it as uncharacterized. Lineage: Eukaryota; Metazoa; Arthropoda; Insecta; Diptera; Culicidae. The record is from RefSeq and is a predicted model, not a curated record.